Molecule: ribosomal RNA, 433 nt
Filed under: uncultured bacterium
Lineage: Bacteria
Description: partial 16S ribosomal RNA
Rfam family: Bacterial small subunit ribosomal RNA
Source: RNAcentral
AACGAACGCUGGCGGCAUGCCUAACACAUGCAAGUCGAACGAGACCUCCGGGUCUAGUGGCGCACGGGUGCGUAACGCGUGGGAACCUGCCCUUAGGUUCGGAAUAACUCCCCGACAGGGGUGCUAAUACCGGAUAAUGUCUUCGGACCAAAGAUUUAUCGCCCUUGGAUGGGCCCGCGUUGAAUUAGCUAGUUGGUAGGGUAAAAGCCUACCAAGGCGACGAUCCAUAGCUGGUUUGGGAGAAUGAUCAGCCACACUGGGACUGAGACACGGCCCAGACUCCUACGGGAUGCAGCAGUGGGGAAUAUUGGACAAUGGGCGAAAGCCUGAUCCAGCAAUGCCGCGUGAGUGAUGAAGGUCUUAGGGUUGUAAAGCUCUUUUACCCGGGAUGAUAAUGACGGUACCGGGAGAAUAAGCUCCGGCUAACUCCGUG